GAUGAACGCUGGCGGCGUGCCUAAUACAUGCAAGUCGAGCGAACAGACGAGGAGCUUGCUCCUCUGACGUUAGCGGCGGACGGGUGAGUAACACGUGGAUAACCUACCUAUAAGACUGGGAUAACUUCGGGAAACCGGAGCUAAUACCGGAUAAUAUAUUGAACCGCAUGGUUCAAUAGUGAAAGACGGUUUUGCUGUCACUUAUAGAUGGAUCCGCGCCGCAUUAGCUAGUUGGUAAGGUAACGGCUUACCAAGGCAACGAUGCGUAGCCGACCUGAGAGGGUGAUCGGCCACACUGGAACUGAGCCACGGUCAAGACUCCUACGGGAGGCAGCAGUAGGGAAUCUUCCGCAAUGGGCGAAAGCCUGACGGAGCAACGCCGAGUGAGUGAUGAAGGUCUUCGGAUCGUAAAACUCUGUUAUUAGGGAAGAACAAAUGUGUAAGUAACUAUGCACGUCUUGACGGUACCUAAUCAGAAAGCCACGGCUAACUACGUG
RNAcentral lists this ribosomal RNA (497 nucleotides) under uncultured bacterium. RNAcentral's name for it is "partial 16S ribosomal RNA". It matches the Rfam family "Bacterial small subunit ribosomal RNA", at positions 28 to 507 of the family's 1533-position model. The record is from RNAcentral.